GCCGCGGGACGACCCGUGGCUUACCAAAACGGCGGGACGGCCCGC
RNAcentral lists this non-coding RNA (45 nucleotides) under Methylocaldum szegediense. Its description in RNAcentral is "mini-ykkC". It matches the Rfam family "Guanidine-II riboswitch aptamer (mini-ykkC)". Rfam says of the family: Simpler in structure and has fewer highly conserved nucleotide positions than the ykkC-yxkD leader. Despite this each of its two stem-loop structures directly bind free guanidine. The record is from RNAcentral. Lineage: Bacteria; Pseudomonadati; Pseudomonadota; Gammaproteobacteria; Methylococcales; Methylococcaceae. RNAcentral also lists the same sequence under 1 other name.